GUUAAUGUAGCAAAAUCUGGCUUUGCAAAAGACCUAAAACCUUUCCAUAGAGGUUCAAAUCCUCUCAUUAACU
Molecule: transfer RNA, 73 nt
Filed under: Dryophytes gratiosus (barking treefrog)
Lineage: Eukaryota; Metazoa; Chordata; Amphibia; Anura; Hylidae
Description: tRNA-Leu
Rfam family: tRNA
About the family: Transfer RNA (tRNA) molecules are approximately 80 nucleotides in length. Their secondary structure includes four short double-helical elements and three loops (D, anti-codon, and T loops). Further hydrogen bonds mediate the characteristic L-shaped molecular structure. tRNAs have two regions of fundamental functional importance: the anti-codon, which is responsible for specific mRNA codon recognition, and the 3' end, to which the tRNAs corresponding amino acid is attached (by aminoacyl-tRNA synthetases). tRNAs cope with the degeneracy of the genetic code in two manners: having more than one tRNA (with a specific anti-codon) for a particular amino acid; and 'wobble' base-pairing, i.e. permitting non-standard base-pairing at the 3rd anti-codon position.
Source: RNAcentral